GGUGGCUUACUAAAUGUGUACAGCGACUACUUUCUUCGAUGGGGACUGCACUUCUGUUCAGACUGCUCAGCUUGUUUACUGGCAUUUCAAUGCUUCAGCAGGUGAUCAGCUGGAGCAUCACCGUACCCAACACAGUUACUGCAGUGGAGGGGAGCUGUGUUGUGGUGCCAUGUCAGACACAACCUCAUUCUAGGGUCAUAUGGUACCAGUACCAUACAAUAACAUAUCCUGUUGUGUAUGAUGGGCGUAGUCCCAAUGCAGUGGAAGAACAGUUCAGAGGACGCACAUCAAUACCGGGUGAAGCUUCAGAGGGGAACUGCAGCCUGAUGAUAGAUAAUGUAAAAACAUCCGACAACAACCUACAAACUUAUGUUUGGAUCAAACCAGACUCUGAAUCAACUCAGAAAUUCCAUCUUAAAACUGUAACUAUCUCUGUUGAGAGACGCGCUAUUAAAAUGCAGAUUCAGAAACGGAUAGUGAAUGGGGAGAUGUUCCAGGCUAACUGCAGCGUAAAGCACUCCUGCCCUUCCUCACCCCCAUCCCUUCAUUGGAACAAAAGUCAAUUUCUAAACGACUCCACUUCAAUGACUAAUGGCACGCUUGAACAGGCCCAGAGGUGGCAUACAGAGACACUUCAUGGACUAGCAACCUAUAAAAUGCAUAACAGCAAAAUGUGGUGCUCUGCAAAGUUCAAAACCUUCACCUCAGAAAGUGAACGGAUAACACUCAACAUUUUAUAUGAACCUGUGAAUGUGACCCUGACACAGCAAAAGGAAUCAGUGAUGGAGGGUGGUAGCGUCACCCUGGAGUGUGGUGCUGACUGUAACCCACAACCACACACGUACAAAUGGCUCAGAAGACAGAUGGGUCAGAUCAAGGGAAUAAAUUCAACUGAGAAAAAAAGACCCUUCAACAAUAUCACGCGAGACACCUCUUUCUCCUGCAUCGCUUACAAUGACAUUGGAACAAGGCAGUCCGACUGGUUGGAUCUGGACGUUCAAUAUGCCCCUGUAAUCGUACCUGAGUCCUACUGCCUCCUGACAGGGGAAAGUCUGAAGUGUGUCUGCAGCGCUGAAGCGUCCCCUUACCCCUCUAUACAUUGGACCAUAGAUGGAAAUUACACUCUUCCGUCUUCCUUCAGCUUUGUUUCCACAAAUAAGAAAAAUGUAGUCUCUGGGGAAAUAAAUUGUGCAGCUCAAAGGCAAUCCAACAUAUCUUGCACCGCCACUAACUACCUGGGCAGCAACACAAAAUUGCUGUCCGUAGAAAGAUCCUCCACGUAUAUCUGGCUGUUAGCUUUUGUGAUCCCAGGAAUUGGUUUGCUAUUUGGAAGUGCAAUGUUCAUUUGCAGGAAAAGAUCGAGAAACAGACCGCCAGCAUACGUUGUGUGCAACACUGAUAUCGUUUUAAGGGAACAAAGAUUACCUCACAACGCAGAACAAGAAGAGAGAUAUGGCAACAUUGAAAGACCGCCAGCAUACGUUGUGUGCAACACUGAUAUCGUUUUAAGGGAACAAAGAUUACCUGACAACGCAGAACAAGAAGAGAGAUAUGGCAACAUUGAAAGAUUUCAAGCUGAGGACAUGCUAUCACCAUGCGGACCAGAUAAAGGCCCAGAUGAGGACAGUUUUUCCUGUGUUUAUGACAAUGAAUUUUUGGAAGAUAUGAAAAAAACCAACCAGAGCUCAACAGCACCACAAUAACAAAAUGGCUUACUGAAGAGAAUGCAAAAUACAGCCACAAGCAAAGGUGCAGUGACUAAGACUCAUGAUUAAAUGAUGCCAUGAUCCAGACCAUCACGUGUGUCACUCAAAGUAGCAUUCAAGAUUUUAAAACUCUAUACAUAGAUGAGAUUGUUAGCAGGAGAAGACCUUGUAACACCAAAUUGUUCCAAGAAUCAAAUGAGAUAGCUUUUUGUAACUAUUGCCAUUAUUAGUUUUGUUUCCAUGAUGAUAAGGAAGAAUAAUUUGUUUAUCUGUUUAUCUGUAUCUGAUCUUAUGCGUAGCUGCAAAUAAAAGCAGGCUCUUGUCCUAAUAAAAUUCAAAUGUUUAUAUCAGGGUUUAUUACUGUAGAGAUCCACUGGGUCCUUAAAUAACAUGCCUAACAUGAAAGUCAACAUGACUUUUGCAUUUUGGUUAAUAUUAACCAAUGGGUGUGUGUUCAUUGCUCGAUGUAAAAAUAAGAUCAGUGAGUCAUACCGGAAUAGAAAGGGACUUUUCGUUUCCGGCUGUUUCUGGAACUUUAUAUCAGCUCAUCUUUGAACUAUAUUGUCUUUGAUGAAACGCACAGCAAGACAAACAGCACGAAGCUUUAUUUAUUUGAAGGCCAAACACUUGAGAAAACGUCCAGUGUAUGAUAAAAAUGGAACCAGGGGUGAGGAGUGAGGUCAUUCUCUCAGCUUACAUCAUUUCCUUUCUCCUUGGCCUCCCAACAAACCUCG
Trematomus bernacchii (emerald rockcod) is the source of this 2440-nucleotide RNA transcript. It is a transcript of the gene named myelin-associated glycoprotein-like, with no coding region annotated. Lineage: Eukaryota; Metazoa; Chordata; Actinopteri; Perciformes; Nototheniidae. The transcript is spliced from 12 exons. The record is from RefSeq and is a predicted model, not a curated record.